Molecule: transfer RNA, 88 nt
Filed under: Vulcanimicrobiota bacterium
Lineage: Bacteria; Bacillati; Vulcanimicrobiota
Description: tRNA-Leu
Rfam family: tRNA
About the family: Transfer RNA (tRNA) molecules are approximately 80 nucleotides in length. Their secondary structure includes four short double-helical elements and three loops (D, anti-codon, and T loops). Further hydrogen bonds mediate the characteristic L-shaped molecular structure. tRNAs have two regions of fundamental functional importance: the anti-codon, which is responsible for specific mRNA codon recognition, and the 3' end, to which the tRNAs corresponding amino acid is attached (by aminoacyl-tRNA synthetases). tRNAs cope with the degeneracy of the genetic code in two manners: having more than one tRNA (with a specific anti-codon) for a particular amino acid; and 'wobble' base-pairing, i.e. permitting non-standard base-pairing at the 3rd anti-codon position.
Source: RNAcentral
GCGGAGGUGGCGGAAUUGGUAGACGCGCAUGGUUGAGGGCCAUGUGGGCAUUGCGCCCGUGGGGGUUCGAGUCCCCCCCCCCGCACCA